UGUCGUGAGUGUGGCAUGGUACACGUGUCUUCAAGCUGAUGCUGGCUGUGGCUGAGCCUUGGCUGGGGACAGUUACUGGGACACCUAUGUGAUCUGUUCCUGGUCUCCUCAGCAGUCUCCGCAAACACCCUGCUAUGUGGUCCAGAAAACCUACAGUCUGCUUGAGAUGCAGCUUCCAUUGCCUACAGCACCACCAGGCAUCCAUCACGCGGGAUCAGCCGGGAGCGGCCGUCUAGGCAAUCGAUAAAACAACAAAUCAGGUCCUGAUUUGUGGUGCUGGCUGAUUUCUAUGGUGUAUGCACUAAGAACACGGUAGCAUUGGACCUCCAGCUGGGCAGUGACAUGCAACAGCACACAGAGCGUGGGGAUUGACAGCUUCAUUGGGAACACUCUCUGCAGUCUCCAGCCAUACGACACUGCUUUGAAGGCUGUGGGACCGUUAGGAGGUGGGAUCUGGCUCAUGGAGGUGGCUGUCAGGUGCUGGUACACCCAUCCCUGGUUCCACUCACUUUUUCUCUGCCUUCUAUCUGCCCCCAUGUGAGUCAUCUCUGCCACGCACUCCUGCUACCAUGGAUGAAGCUGCCACCAUCUCUCUCCAGCAGCGACGGACCAACCUCCCUCAACUGUGACCCCAAAUAAACCCUCUCU
Long non-coding RNA from Mesocricetus auratus (golden hamster), 648 nucleotides. RefSeq lists it as uncharacterized. Lineage: Eukaryota; Metazoa; Chordata; Mammalia; Rodentia; Cricetidae. The transcript has 5 exons. The record is from RefSeq and is a predicted model, not a curated record.